GCCACCGCUUGCACCUGCUGCUGGCGCCCAGUGCCGGCCCCCAUCACUUGGUGCCGUCAGCGGGUGCGAGCAGUGGCUG
Molecule: microRNA precursor, 79 nt
Filed under: Myotis brandtii (Brandt's bat)
Lineage: Eukaryota; Metazoa; Chordata; Mammalia; Chiroptera; Vespertilionidae
Description: mir-9198 microRNA precursor family
Rfam family: mir-9198 microRNA precursor family
Source: Rfam by way of RNAcentral